GACGAACGCUGGCGGCGUGCCUAACACAUGCAAGUCGAACGGGGGUAGCAAUACCUCAGUGGCGAACGGGUGCGUAACACGUGAAGAAUUUGUCUAACGGCGGGGGAGUAGCCGGCCCAACGGCCGGGUAAUACCGCGUACGACCUCUGGAGGGCAUCCUCUGGUGGUGAAAGCCGCAAGGCGCCGAUAGAGAACUUCGCGGCCAUCAGCUAGUUGGC
RNAcentral lists this ribosomal RNA (218 nucleotides) under uncultured bacterium. Its description in RNAcentral is "partial 16S ribosomal RNA". It matches the Rfam family "Bacterial small subunit ribosomal RNA", at positions 28 to 253 of the family's 1533-position model. The record is from RNAcentral.